This 231-nucleotide ribosomal RNA is filed under the name uncultured bacterium. Its description in RNAcentral is "partial 16S ribosomal RNA". It matches the Rfam family "Bacterial small subunit ribosomal RNA", at positions 102 to 334 of the family's 1533-position model. The record is from RNAcentral.
ACGGGUGAGUAACACGUAUCCAACCUGCCGUCUACUCUUGGCCAGCCUUCUGAAAGGAAGAUUAAUACAAGAUGGCAUCAUGAGUCCGCAUGUUCACAUGAUUAAAGGUAUUCCGGUAGACGAUGGGGAUGCGUUCCAUUAGAUAGUAGGCGGGGUAACGGCCCACCUAGUCUACGAUGGAUAGGGGUUCUGAGAGGAAGGUCCCCACAUUGGAACUGAGACACGGUCCAA